Molecule: long non-coding RNA, 883 nt
Organism: Labeo rohita (rohu)
Lineage: Eukaryota; Metazoa; Chordata; Actinopteri; Cypriniformes; Cyprinidae
Exons: 3
Source: RefSeq, a predicted model, not a curated record
GUUUGGACACGCCCAGUCUUGCAUCCGGGACUUUUCGAGAUCUGCACCUGCUGUUAGGCUACAGUGAAAGUAUUGACAUGGGUGCACGGAGCCAAGACAGCACAUGCCUGAAACAUCACACCAGAUUGUUCUGCAUGGAUCAGUCUGAGAAACUCAAAAGGUUGACUCUAUAUGAGCAACGUGGUUCAAGGUGGAUCUUCACAAAAGAUCUUUCACAAAAGAGAAAAAAAAGUGCCUGGUGCACAAUACGGCAACCCUUCUUACCUUUAGACCAGAGCCUUCCCUCAAGAUAUCAUAGCCACUAAAGGUCCAGGGCCCGGCUGACAUUUCACCGAGCCCUUGAUAUUCAGCUUCCCGUGAAAGAGUACAGCCCCGGUCUGACCCAGACCUCAACGGCAGAAUGGAUACGGCCUGAUGGACUCUAUUCAGCAAAGCGGCUGUUUUUUCUUUCAAUUUCGACUGCUUCACUUCAAGAGAAGUUUCUUCCUAUGGCUGUCGAUGUCUCUGGAGUAAUAGAAAAUGCAAUGAAAUAGAGGAAAAUUGCUGCACAUUAGCAUACCUGUGUGAGCGGUAACACCUGGGUACAUCUGAGAUUCCUCAGAGAUGAGAUGGAGGGGUAAUGGCAGGCCGUUCUCACAGUAGGUGUACAUAUAUAAGUGAAGAUGUGAGAGGAUAGAGGGCUCUGCUCGUGAGGAUGAGAGGAACUUAAUCUGAACCACUUUCCCUCCUCCGGAGAGGAAGACAGAGUGAUGGAAUCACAGGGAAUGAGGAGAGAAAGGGAUCGAGAGAGGAUGGGAGAAGAGACGGGAUGUGGCUGCCAGUGAGUCUCAGUGGGGGAGCUGGGAAGGCAUUACACCUAUCGCUAUCUCUCUUUCUCACCCAA